GUUCUCCCAGUUUCAUCGUCCCCUGAUAUAGCCGCCGAGUUUCAGUUGCUCCAUAAACGUGUUUGGGACAGCUUCGUGCGGAACUAUCUGACUGCGGACUAAAACCAGUGCGGUGGCUGCACGCUUAGAUAUUUCAAAACUUUUUUUUACAUUCUUUUUUUCUUCUCUUCCUUUGAUUCCAACGUCCAAACGCCGGAAGGUGUUGGCUCUUUGCCAAACGGUAAGGAAAUGAACGUGAAAUGACUGAACGUUGGAUGCGUUCUAGUAUUUCACACCGUCAGAAUCACCGCGAUAGCAAGAGCGAACGGUUCUUAGAUUUCAAUUAGCGCAAUUAAUGUUAUGCAAUGAUUCGCGCGCGGAAUGAAUGAUCUGUAAAAUCGGUAGAAAAAUGUACUAACGGAAGAGUAGAACGAAAAAAAAAGAGAAAGAAAAGUAAAGAGAGAGAGAGAGAGAGAGAGUAGGAACGAAGUAAUGAUCAGUAAGGAAUCUAUUGUACACGGUGUCUUCGACGUGUUUGACAACGGCUUACACCCAUUACCAGUUUACGAUCAUUAUUGACUGUAUGUAACGACGCACGUAUUGUACGAACUAAUGUUUGUGUGAGGCUAUUUAAAACUAUUACUCUUCAAACUUCGACUCCGAUAUAAACAAUAUGUCGGACAGCGAGGAUGCAGGAAGUGAUGGGAGCCAACAACGAUUGCACCGUCCGAGUCUCUCGAGAAAAAUGCGGAGGAGCAUCAGGAAGGUCAAGAAAAGCAUCCAAAAAAUGACAGUGGCUUGCAGUGGACGAUGGCGAGGAGGAAACCAAGCCAAUCCAUGUGGUACCGGAACGAUUGGCAGCCCUGUCGAUCCGCACUGGUUUUUCAAGGAAUGAGAUCUGCAAGAUUUACAGAGCUUUCAAGCAGCAUUGUCCGGGCGGUGCUGCGACCCCAAACGACCUAAGGCCGGCUUACGCGAAGCUUUUUCCACUUGGAGAUUCCACUAAGUACGCUCAAGUAGUAUUCAACACCUUCGAUACGAACAAAGACGGUCUCGUGAGCUUCGGCGACUUUUUGACUGGCCUGUCUCUGAUCGUGAAAGGAACCGCCGAGGAGAAGUUGUCCUGGAUUUUCGGAUUGUACGACAUGAACGGCGAUGGUCACAUAACGAGGCACGAAAUGUUGUUCAUAGUAUCGGCGAUUUACGAGAUGGUGCGAACAAGUCAAACUAUACAACGCGCGGUGAACAGACACGUUGAUAGACUUUUUGAGAAAAUGGAUCUGAACAAGGAUGGCGUGAUAUCUCGGGAGGAGUUUAUGACGUCAUGUAUGAAUGACCAAAGUAUAUGCACGCAGCUGACGGUCUUCGACGAUCUUUGGUAACAUCAUCGAUGAGACGUUUGUUUAAUAUGCAAUAAUGUACUCGAUGCUCGUUUGCAGAUUGCUAUAAAACAUAUUUAUUCACUUAACACCGG
Molecule: RNA transcript, 1453 nt
Organism: Neodiprion virginianus
Lineage: Eukaryota; Metazoa; Arthropoda; Insecta; Hymenoptera; Diprionidae
Gene name: Kv channel-interacting protein 4-like
Exons: 4
Source: RefSeq, a predicted model, not a curated record